UCGAGCGGACAGAUGGGAGCUUGCUCCCUGAUGUUAGCGGCGGACGGGUGAGUAACACGUGGGUAACCUGCCUGUAAGACUGGGAUAACUCCGGGAAACCGGGGCUAAUACCGGAUGGUUGUUUGAACCGCAUGGUUCAGACAUAAAAGGUGGCUUCGGCUACCACUUACAGAUGGACCCGCGGCGCAUUAGCUAGUUGGUGAGGUAACGGCUCACCAAGGCNACGAUGCGUAGCCGACCUGAGAGGGUGAUCGGCCACACUGGGACUGAGACACGGCCCAGACUCCUACGGGAGGCAGCAGUAGGGAAUCUUCCGCAAUGGACGAAAGUCUGACGGAGCAACGCCGCGUGAGUGAUGAAGGUUUUCGGAUCGUAAAGCUCUGUUGUUAGGGAAGAACAAGUGCCGUUCAAAUAGGGCGGCACCUUGACGGUACCUAACCAGAAAGCCACGGCUAACUACGUGCCCAGCAGCCA
RNAcentral lists this ribosomal RNA (474 nucleotides) under Bacillus subtilis. Its description in RNAcentral is "bacterial SSU rRNA". It matches the Rfam family "Bacterial small subunit ribosomal RNA", at positions 62 to 517 of the family's 1533-position model. The record is from RNAcentral. Lineage: Bacteria; Bacillati; Bacillota; Bacilli; Caryophanales; Bacillaceae.